UACGGAGGGAGCUAGCGUUGUUCGGAAUUACUGGGCGUAAAGCGCGCGUAGGCGGCUUUGUAAGUUAGAGGUGAAAGCCCGGGGCUCAACCCCGGAACUGCCUUUAAGACUGCAUCGCUUGAAUCCGGGAGAGGUGAGUGGAAUUCCGAGUGUAGAGGUGAAAUUCGUAGAUAUUCGGAAGAACACCAGUGGCGAAGGCGACUUACUGGACACAUAUUGACGCUGAGGUGCGAAAGCGUGGGGAGCAAACAGG
Molecule: ribosomal RNA, 253 nt
Filed under: uncultured bacterium
Lineage: Bacteria
Description: partial 16S ribosomal RNA
Rfam family: Bacterial small subunit ribosomal RNA
Source: RNAcentral